Long non-coding RNA from Amphimedon queenslandica, 257 nucleotides. RefSeq lists it as uncharacterized. The record is from RefSeq and is a predicted model, not a curated record. The transcript has 3 exons. Lineage: Eukaryota; Metazoa; Porifera; Demospongiae; Haplosclerida; Niphatidae.
ACAGCUGGUGUUGUUACUGAUAAGGAAGGUGACAAUAUUGCAGUGCUGAUGGGAGUAUUGCUACUAGUGGCACUAUUUAUUAUACUAACAAUGUUUAUUGUUAUGAUAAUACUUGUUGUUAAAUAUAUAAUUCGUCCCAGACCUAGUUCUGGUGUUUACAGUAGAGUUCCAGCUGAUGAAGGACACGUCCAGUAUAGGAAUGGAGCUGAGAGUCCUACUGAUGAUGAUGACGAAAGGCCCCUCCCUUUAUAAAUUAA